RNAcentral lists this ribosomal RNA (905 nucleotides) under Stagonosporopsis chrysanthemi. RNAcentral's name for it is "partial large subunit ribosomal RNA". It matches the Rfam family "Eukaryotic large subunit ribosomal RNA", at positions 37 to 961 of the family's 3401-position model. Lineage: Eukaryota; Fungi; Ascomycota; Dothideomycetes; Pleosporales; Didymellaceae. The record is from RNAcentral.
AGCAUUCAAUAAGCGGAGGAAAAGAAACCAACAGGGAUUGCCCUAGUAACGGCGAGUGAAGCGGCAACAGCUCAAAUUUGAAAUCUGGCGUCUUUGGCGUCCGAGUUGUAAUUUGCAGAGGGCGCUUUGGCAUUGGCAGCGGUCCAAGUUCCUUGGAACAGGACGUCACAGAGGGUGAGAAUCCCGUACGUGGUCGCUAGCCUCUACCGUGUAAAGCCCCUUCGACGAGUCGAGUUGUUUGGGAAUGCAGCUCUAAAUGGGAGGUAAAUUUCUUCUAAAGCUAAAUACUGGCCAGAGACCGAUAGCGCACAAGUAGAGUGAUCGAAAGAUGAAAAGCACUUUGGAAAGAGAGUUAAAAAGCACGUGAAAUUGUUGAAAGGGAAGCGCUUGCAGCCAGACUUGCCUGUAGUUGCUCAUCCGGGUUUCUACCCGGUGCACUCUUCUAUAGGCAGGCCAGCAUCAGUUUGGGCGGUUGGAUAAAGGUCUCUGUCACGUACCUCCUCUCGGGGAGGCCUUAUAGGGGAGACGACAUGCAACCAGCCUGGACUGAGGUCCGCGCAUCUGCUAGGAUGCUGGCGUAAUGGCUGUAAGCGGCCCGUCUUGAAACACGGACCAAGGAGUCUAACAUCUAUGCGAGUGUUUGGGUGUCAAGCCCGAACGCGUAAUGAAAGUGAACGGAGGUGGGAACCUUUCGGGGUGCACCAUCGACCGAUCCUGAUGUCUUCGGAUGGAUUUGAGUAAGAGCAUAGCUGUUGGGACCCGAAAGAUGGUGAACUAUGCUUGAAUAGGGUGAAGCCAGAGGAAACUCUGGUGGAGGCUCGCAGCGGUUCUGACGUGCAAAUCGAUCGUCAAAUUUGGGCAUAGGGGCGAAAGACUAAUCGAACUAUCUAGUAGCUGGUUCCUGC